Lolium perenne is the source of this 3271-nucleotide non-coding RNA. Lineage: Eukaryota; Viridiplantae; Streptophyta; Magnoliopsida; Poales; Poaceae. The record is from RefSeq and is a predicted model, not a curated record.
CCUAUAAAAGCUCCAAGACUACCCUCUCAACCAGGCCAUCUGAAAGGGGCAAAAUGAUCUGAUCCGUCCGUUUCAGCCGCACAGUAAAUUCUGGUUCCCACUUUUACCUACAGCCGUCCGAUUCAGUGAUUUUUUUCUCACCCGCUGCUGCUCGUUGAGGGUGUAUGACGUCUGGGUCCGCGCUUAAGUGGGACCACUUGUUUGCUACGGUGGGCAUCCGGAGUCGCGUCGCUCAGAAAAUGAAAUGCAGUGAAAACCUAACCUACCGCGAGCCUCUCCUCCCAAUCCCGUGCCUCCUCUCCUCUCCCCCAAUCUCGGCCUCCUCUCUUCCUUCCCAAUCAGCCGCCGCCUCCUCUCGUUUCUCCUCCCCAAUCCGGUGCAGAGGAGUGGAAAGGGACGGCGGCGACCCGUGCGGCGCCAGUGGUGGCGGACUCGCCGUUCCCCGCGAGCGAGGAGACGAGAUCGGUGGGGCCCUCGACCUGCGCGAGUGGCGGCGUGCGGCGUGGCGGUGUCGACUAGCGCCGGUGUCGUCCACUCGCUCGCACUCCACCUUUCCGCCAUCGCUCCCACUCCCGCCGCCCGCGUGUCCCGCGCGCCGCCCGCGCGGAACCAGCCUGGAUGCGGCGGUGCUGGGGGACUGAGCUGCCGUGAGCGAGAGUGAAGUACGCCGAUGCCGAUCGGGAUGGGAAGAGGUCGGGGAGGCUACUCCGCCGCUGCCGUGGCCGUUGCCGUGGCCGUCGCGUUCGCGUUGGUGGCGGUGGUGGCCGGCGCCGCUUCCGAGGGGGACUCGCUCGCGGGACUCGCCGGGGGCGCCGCGGGGAUCGACGCCGCGCCAGGUACGUGCUCGCGCGCUUCUGCCCGUGAUUUCUCCGUGUGAUCGAUCAGCGAGCUAGGGGGAUCGGGUUUGCGUAUCCAGAGUUCGAUCGGUGAGUCGAUCCACUUCCGUGCGCAGUGAUGGCUUGAUCUCUGAUGGGGCCUCUGAGCCUGAUUCCGCUGCCAGUCACACUCCAGUUUUAUUUCAGACCUCGCGUUUGUCGGCGAUUACGAUCGUUUGUCCUGUCGGAAACGUGCGCAGUUUUCCGCUCAGCAAGUCCCGUCGGUGUCGGUACAAACGUCGGCAUCAGCCGAUCGCACCGAAUUAAGUCCAUUCGCCCGUCCAGGAUCGGAGAAUCGAGCGAUCUGCAGCAAGCAACAUGGAAGAAACUUUGUUCCCACAGCACAAGUGCACGAGAGGAGAAGAAGAGCACCCGACUUGAGAUGUUGAGCGUCAACCUAAAGUGACGCAGCCCGCUCGCCAUGGCAGGUUGUGAGUGAGUUUUGCUCCUUCUUUUCUGAAGUUUCUUCGUGUGAUUAAAUGCUUUCAUUAUGUGAUUAUUUCACAGUGCAGAUCAGGUGCAAAACUGUGUCAUUUAGAUUUAUUUUCAGUGGAGUAUCCUGAACCACCAAAGAUUUUCUUUUUUACAGAGCAUGCAACAUUGAGGAAUUUGAUUGGAGCGCUUCACAUAGUGGUCUAAGUCUCUGGUUCCUCCUAUGCCAAUGUCCCUUUAGUUCCGAUUGUAUUCACCAACUUUACACUUUCUUCCUGAUUUUGUUUUGUAGUCACAAUGCUACAUAACUCAAGAAAUGCUCCUAUUCUACAAGUAACCAAAUAUGUUAAUAUUGUAGUUGUUAUGCCACCUUCAGGACACAUGUUAAUAGUUUAUUUUAUAUUUGAAACCUGUCUUUGUUCGUCUUUAGACAAAUGAAAAUCUUGAGUGUUGCCGAGUCAAAAGAACAUGCUUUUCGAGACAAUCAUUCCGGUUCUAAUGUUUACUAAAUUUUGGAAAGCUUUUAAUACUACUUGAUUUUAACUGUCUGGCUUCAAAUAGAUUUAUUAUACAGCAAAGUAAUGUUGUGGAGAUUUUGCCAAUGAUAUUGAUCUAAUUGGAAAUCCAUCAUCUGAACAAUGGGGGCAUGGCAUACUCUCUGCAGCUCACUACGGUAGGGAAGUACUUCACGUCAUGUCCAAAAGCCGAGUGUACGUCGACACAGCGGGUGGGGUCGGUGUCACGUCCACUGACCGAGCGGGUGUUGCUGAGCUGGGAUGAACAUUCAUGGAUUAAUAUAUGUCUGUAUUUUUACUAGAAGACGAUGAAGAUUUGAAUGUCUGCAUGUAAUGCUUCACAAUUUUACUCCUUGCUUUUGAAGGCUCUGCAUGCUUCUCUUCCAACCAAUUACUUACUAGGUACAACUUUAUUCCUUUACCACAUCAUAAUUGUUUUAUUUACUCUUGGCGUCCAUGUUUUAUAUUAGUACAUAUCCAUGUAUAGGCUCAAGGUGCUAAUAUAUGCAUUGUGCUUUGUGUUGAUUCACCGGUUAUUUAAUACCGAGUUGCGUGCGUGUUUCCUUUUUAAGAAUGUUUGAUUUCCAUGCAAACAGUGUCAUAUAUGCAAAAUGCCAAGUUAGAUUUUUGCUAAACCAUAGUACAUAUAUAGCGGCAAUGCUCGUUUAGUUGAGCUGUAUAUAUGUCUUUCUAAGUUUGUGUAGUUCAAUAUAUUUCAUUUAAUUGUUGAGAAAAUUAGCACCUUCCCUAUAUCUCCUUCCAUGUGCACUCUCUGUUGUGUUUUUGGUUUGCAGUGAGUAAAGGUGCAGCUUUGUUGUUCUUCCUUGCAUUGAAGCAUGUCGACUAAACCUUCUGCUCCUAUCAUGCCGCCCAAGGAUUUGUUUAGAAUGUGCUAAUAAAUAUAGGUCUAUGGUGUUCUCCGCUGUUGUAGCAGCAGUAGAUGAGGAGCCCUACGAUAUCCUAUAUGCCCAACCUAUGGUCUAAAUUUUAUCUACGUCUAUGUAUGCCACGAACUACUGACUGAAACUAAAAUUUAUCUGCUUUUAUGCAUAGCACGAUCUGAUGCUCAGAAAUCUUUGUUUCUGCCGAUAUUCUCUACAUAUGUUUUGAAUCGCUGGUGCUGUCUGUAUUUAUGCUGCAUUUGUUGCUGUCAUCUGUUUCAUUUUGUGGGUUAAGAAAAAAUGAAAGCAGAUCUAUUGAAGAUAUCUUUUUUAAGUACAUCGGCUUUCUAUGGUGUGCUUUCUGAGAGGCAUUUGUGUAGCAUGUCUGCAUUUACUUUGUUAUUUUCAACGCACAUGCUCACGACAUGGGUAGGCACUGAAUGAUUGUAUUGGUCUGAUGGCCAUCUUUUUUAUUUAGCAAUUUGAGUAUUUCAGCUUACUCUCAGAGAUCUAUCACUUGCUUAGCUAUGUCAGUGUUUUCUUUUCAAAUAUCUUAAGGAAAUGGGAG